This 482-nucleotide ribosomal RNA is filed under the name Procambarus reimeri. RNAcentral's name for it is "partial 16S ribosomal RNA". It matches the Rfam family "Bacterial large subunit ribosomal RNA", at positions 1944 to 2643 of the family's 2925-position model. The record is from RNAcentral. Lineage: Eukaryota; Metazoa; Arthropoda; Malacostraca; Decapoda; Cambaridae.
GACCGUGCGAAGGUAGCAUAAUCAUUAGUUUUUUAAUUGAAGGCUAGAAUGAAUGGUUGGACAAGAAAUAAUCUGUCUUAAUUAAAUAUAUUGAAUUUAACUUUUAAGUGAAAAGGCUUAAAUAAUCUGAAGGGACGAUAAGACCCUAUAAAACUUUAUAUUUUAAAAUUGUAGUUAAUUUUAUUCAAAUAUAUUAUUUAAAAAUAUUUUGUUGGGGUGACAAGGAUAAAAUUAAAAGUAACUGUCCUUUUUUAUUACAGUAAUGUUUGGUUUAAUGAUCCUUAAAUGGAUUAAAGAUUAAGUUACUUUAGGGAUAACAGCGUAAUUUUCUUUAAGAGUUCUUAUCGACAGGAAAGUUUGCGACCUCGAUGUUGAAUUAAAAGUUCUUUAUAGAGUAGAGACUAUAAAAGAAGGUCUGUUCGACCUUUAAAUUUUUACAUGAUUUGAGUUCAAACCGGUGUAAGCCAGGUUGGUUUCUAUCU